GAUGAACGCUGGCGGCGUGCUUAACACAUGCAAGUCGAGCGAAGCGGUUUAAAUGAGACUUCGGUGGAUUUUAAACUGACUGAGCGGGCGAGGGUGAGGUACGCGUAGUAGUACUGCUCACACAGGGGAUAACAGUUAGAAAUGACUGCUAAUACCGCAUAAGCGCACGGCAUCGCAUGAUGCAGUGUGAAAAACUCCGGUGGUGUGAGAUGGAUCCGCGUCUGAUUAGGUAGUUGGUGGGGUAACGGCCCACCAAGCCGACGAUCGGUAGCCGACCUGAGAGGGUGACCGGCCACAUUGGGACUGAGACACGGCCCAA
RNAcentral lists this ribosomal RNA (319 nucleotides) under uncultured bacterium. Its description in RNAcentral is "bacterial SSU rRNA". It matches the Rfam family "Bacterial small subunit ribosomal RNA", at positions 28 to 334 of the family's 1533-position model. The record is from RNAcentral.